GCGAAAGCUAUGGGAGCAAACGGGAUUAGAAACCCCGGUAGUCCUAGCCGUAAACGAUGGAUGCUAGGUGUAGGGGGUAUAGAUUCCCUCUGUGCCAAAGCUAACGCGUUAAGCAUCCCGCCUGGGGAGUACGGCCGCAAGGCUAAAACUCAAACGAAUUGACGGGGGCCCGCACAAGCAGCGGAGCGUGUGGUUUAAUUCGAUGCAACACGAAGAACCUUACCUGGGCUUGACAUGCANGUAGUANUGAAGCGAAAGCGGAACGACCCUUCGGGGAGCCUACACAGGUGCUGCAUGGCUGUCGUCAGCUCGUGCCGUGAGGUGUCGGGUUAAGUCCCGUAACGAGCGCAACCCUCGCCCUUAGUUAUACGUGUCUAAGGGGACUGCCCGGGAUAACUGGGAGGAAGGUGGGGAUGACGUCAAGUCAGCAUGGCCUUUAUGU
RNAcentral lists this ribosomal RNA (442 nucleotides) under uncultured bacterium. RNAcentral's name for it is "bacterial SSU rRNA". It matches the Rfam family "Bacterial small subunit ribosomal RNA", at positions 753 to 1207 of the family's 1533-position model. The record is from RNAcentral.